This 253-nucleotide ribosomal RNA is filed under the name uncultured bacterium. Its description in RNAcentral is "partial 16S ribosomal RNA". It matches the Rfam family "Bacterial small subunit ribosomal RNA", at positions 524 to 776 of the family's 1533-position model. The record is from RNAcentral.
UACGUAGGGUGCAAGCGUUGCCCGGAUUUAUUGGGCGUAAAGGGCGCGUAGGCGGCUCUGCACGUUCGUUGUGAAAUCGCCCGGCUCAACUGGGCGGGGUCAGCGGAUACGGCAGAGCUUGAGCAAGCUAGGGGGCAAUGGAAUUCCCGGUGUAGUGGUGGAAUGCGUAGAUAUCGGGAGGAACACCAGUGGCGAAGGCGGUUGCCUGGAGCUUUGCUGACGCUGAUGCGCGAAAGCGUGGGGAGCGAUCCGG